GGCUAUACUUCCAUCAUCUCCAUACUUGCUGGGAGAUUGAGUAAUUGGUGUCUGGAUGUGCGUGUGCUGCUUCCCAAAAUACCUCUUUAAAAAGACGUGAGAGGGAUGCGGAGCCAGUAGGUACUGAAAUGUUAAUGCACAGCUUUAUGGUGCUUGGUUAUAGGUGUCGAACUCUGUCUUGUGGGAGAGGGGUAGAUGAGAAAAUAGGGCAUGCCUGUGG
RNAcentral lists this long non-coding RNA (220 nucleotides) under Homo sapiens (human). RNAcentral describes it as "HSALNT0151204". Lineage: Eukaryota; Metazoa; Chordata; Mammalia; Primates; Hominidae. The record is from RNAcentral.